This 993-nucleotide ribosomal RNA is filed under the name Triticum aestivum (bread wheat). RNAcentral's name for it is "partial small subunit ribosomal RNA". The record is from RNAcentral. Lineage: Eukaryota; Viridiplantae; Streptophyta; Magnoliopsida; Poales; Poaceae.
AUGUCUCCUCCACAGAAAGAAACCGAACGCGGGUCUAUCUGUCAGCAGAAUCCAGAAUCGCAAGGUUUGGAUCAGAUCCCAACUCCAAAAGGCACCUGGGAACCAAAGUAUAUUUUUGCUGAACAAGAUUGCACGCCAAAGUAUCAAACCAAAGACCUGAGCCAAAGCUAUGCUUUGCUUUCUCCCUUGAAGGUCGCCAAAGUUUCCAAGCCUGUGCAUUCAGGUUAUAAGAAUCACAACCUCAAUGGCAAGCUGCAUACCGAAAACCUCAAACCAACAUCAAAAAUGGCAAUGGGAGGAGGAUCGCAUUUGCAGGGACACCGGGCGCCGAGGCUGUUCGGCAGGGAAAGGCCGGUCCAUGCCGCCCUGGGUGGACGCGAAGCGGCGGACAUCAUCCUGUGGAGGAGGCCGAAGGUGUCGGCGUCGAUCCUCGGCGCGGCGACGGCGGCGUGGGGUCUGUUCGAGGUGGCGGAGUACCACUUCCUGACGCUGGCGUGCUACGCCGCCAUGAUUACCAUGCUCACCUUCUUCAUCUGGACCAACGCCUCCGCUUUCCUGAACCUGCCGGUUCCAAGGAUCCCUGAGACAAUCCUGUCGGAGAGGACGGCGAAGCAGGUGAUCCUGGCCCUGCACAGGCGGCUCACCUGGUUCGUGCACCGGCUGUACGCCAUCGCCUGCGGGGAGGACAUCAAGAAGUUCAUCAUGACGGUGGUGUCUCUGUACAUCGCGUCGGUCGUCGCGACCUGCUUCAGCUCCCUCACCCUGCUCUACCUCGUUGUGUUCUUCACGAUGACGGUGCCGGCGCUGUACGAGCGGUACGAGCACGAGGUGGAGCACCUGGUGGCCACGGGGGCGCGCGACGUCCGUACCCACUUGGCCAAGGUGGACUCCGGCGUGCUCCGGAAGAUCCCCAGAGGCAAAGGCGCCACCACCGCCGCACACGGGACGACGGCCAACAACGUGCACGGGUGGCAUCGCUCGCACGUCAACUAA